UACAGAGGUCUCAAGCGUUGUCCGGAAUCAUUGGGCGUAAAGAGCGUGUAGGCGGCCCGAUAAGUCCGCCGUGAAAGUCCAGGGCUCAACCCUGGAAUGCCGGUGGAAACUGUCGGGCUGGAGUCCGGAAGAGGCGAGUGGAAUUCCUGGUGUAGCGGUGAAAUGCGCAGAUAUCAGGAGGAACACCAAUGGCGAAGGCAGCUCGCUGGGACGGUACUGACGCUGAGACGCGAAAGCGUGGGGAGCAAACAGG
This 253-nucleotide ribosomal RNA is filed under the name uncultured bacterium. RNAcentral's name for it is "partial 16S ribosomal RNA". It matches the Rfam family "Bacterial small subunit ribosomal RNA", at positions 524 to 776 of the family's 1533-position model. The record is from RNAcentral.